This 52-nucleotide transfer RNA is filed under the name Salmonella enterica subsp. enterica serovar Urbana str. R8-2977. RNAcentral describes it as "partial tRNA-OTHER". It matches the Rfam family "tRNA", at positions 1 to 50 of the family's 71-position model. From Rfam's summary of the family: Transfer RNA (tRNA) molecules are approximately 80 nucleotides in length. Their secondary structure includes four short double-helical elements and three loops (D, anti-codon, and T loops). The record is from RNAcentral. Lineage: Bacteria; Pseudomonadati; Pseudomonadota; Gammaproteobacteria; Enterobacterales; Enterobacteriaceae.
GCCCGGAUAGCUCAGUCGGUAGAGCAGGGGAUUGAAAAUCCCCGUGUCCUUG